AAUGAAGUGCCUGAGAAAAGGGUUAUUUUGAUAGAAUAAAUCAUGUACUAAAUACCUUCAUUA
RNAcentral lists this transfer RNA (63 nucleotides) under Opatrum sabulosum. Its description in RNAcentral is "tRNA-Ile". Lineage: Eukaryota; Metazoa; Arthropoda; Insecta; Coleoptera; Tenebrionidae. The record is from RNAcentral.